This 253-nucleotide ribosomal RNA is filed under the name uncultured bacterium. RNAcentral's name for it is "partial 16S ribosomal RNA". It matches the Rfam family "Bacterial small subunit ribosomal RNA", at positions 524 to 776 of the family's 1533-position model. The record is from RNAcentral.
GACGUAGGGUGCGAGCGUUGUCCGGAUUUAUUGGGCGUAAAGAGCUCGUAGGCGGCUCGUCGCGUCGACCGUGAAAACCCGCGGCUUAACUGCGGGCUUGCGGUUGAUACGGGCGGGCUAGAGUUCGGUAGGGGAGACUGGAAUUCCUGGUGUAGCGGUGAAAUGCGCAGAUAUCAGGAGGAACACCGGUGGCGAAGGCGGGUCUCUGGGCCGAUACUGACGCUGAGGAGCGAAAGCGCGGGGAGCGAACAGG